Molecule: long non-coding RNA, 1975 nt
Organism: Ctenopharyngodon idella (grass carp)
Lineage: Eukaryota; Metazoa; Chordata; Actinopteri; Cypriniformes; Xenocyprididae
Exons: 2
Source: RefSeq, a predicted model, not a curated record
UAUAGAUAUUGUUGAAAAGUCGUUAUUUAGUUUUCAUUUGAAGUAUUCUUGUCGCUCUAUAAUAUUAAGAUAUAACCACUGAACUCAUAUGAACUGUUUCAAAUAUGUUUUUAGUACCUUUAUGGAUCUUGAGAGGUGCAGUAACAUUGCUGGCAAUGGAGGCCUCUAUAAGCCAUCGGAUUUCAUAAACAAUAUCCUAAUUUGUGUUCCGAAGAUGAACGAAGGUGUAAAACGACAUGAUGGGAUUCAAGCUGGCCAUCAACAUCAUGUUCACGAUAAAAACAUCGAAGUUUUGUCCCCGUGUUCACCAUCAAACCAAUCAGCCGUGAGCUCGAGUCUAGACUUCAGCAACAGUGAAACGGUGAGUUCCUACUUUAUUUUUGACUAAAAUACAUUGCUAUAAGAAGUAAACGGACUAUAUUAAGGCAGCUAAAUAAAUGUGAUAUGGUUGAAAAAACAAAACAAAAUUAUUUAAAGUCCCCCUGGGAUGAAAAUCAAGUUUGUGGUAGAGCUGCACGAUUAAUCGUAAAAAGAUCGCGAUCUCGAUUCAAACACCCACGCCAUCUUAUUUUAUUAAUGGCAACGUUUAUCCUUUGUCUAUUAAAACAUUUGACAAAAUCAUACCGGAACUUUAAAAUUCUGCUGCGCUGAUCCAGAGAGAGCAGUUCUGAACCACACAGUAGUUAUUUCUCUGUGUUACAAAUAUAAAAAUGAUCACAUAAGUACUCAGAUACAAGUUUAAAGUUAGGAUGUAAACACUGAUGUCUACGAUAGCGACAAAAUAAAGCAAAUCACCUUUGGAAACGAACGUGGCGCUUCAAAUAACGGUUGUAUCGGUUACAUCUUAUACGCCACUAGGUGGCGACAAGUGACUGUUAAAAAUGUAUUUCUCAUUGAACCAUUCAUUCAAAAGAUUUGUUCACAAACACUGAUUCAUCCAGUAAUGAAACAUUUAUUGAGUCAUAUUCAUUCAAAACCAUUUUUUAAAUAAUUCAUUUUUCUAGCAAUUAGAGUCCAGCAAUUAAUAUUUUGUCAGAACCUCUAAUAAAUUACGUUAUUUUGUUUUUAAAAUUGCUUUAAGACAAACCAUGUGCAAAUCCACAUUUCUGAGUAUUUUCUUUAAAACUGCAGUGAUCUGAAGAGUCUCAAAAACGCGGUUUGAAAUCGCUGGUGUUCCUUACGUCACGAACUACCUUGUAACCAAUCACGUCAACGAGUGGAUCUAAUUUGCAUAUUUAUAGAACCACGUAUACUAAAUGAGGCAAGGAUGCAGAGUUAUUAUCAAGCUAUUUUAAGGUAUCAAGAACGUUUAAAUGUGUCAUUUUGUUGAUCAAAGAUGAGUUUUAAGGGAUAAAAUUACUGACUACAGGGGGACUUUAAAAUAACAGGCCAGAGACUAGAAGAAUCACCAACUCGCUCUGAUGUAACCAAACCUAGGGAAUGAAAUUCAUAGAAUUUCAUUUAUAAAAUGUGUAAAUUAUUUUAUUUCAUUUCUGACAAACGGAAAAUUAAGUGGUUGAAUAAACUCAAAAAUAAAAGUGAGACAUCUGUGAACUGCAGCUGUGCAUUGGGUGUGUGUCAUGUGCACAGCUCAGCUGAUUAUAUUCAGAGGGAUCUAGACGCGUAACAGACAUGUAGAUGCAACACAAACCUGCGGAUAAACUCCAAACUGGUGAUAGUCGACACCCUACAAAAACUGACAAAACUUUUUUUUUUUUUUUUCAGUCCUUAGAUGUAACCUUUUUAUUAUUUGUACAUUCAGCACUUACAGGAGUAAACAAUAAAAUUAAAAGAAAACAAAAUGAAGCUUUUAUGCUAAAACAAUAAUAAAAAAAAAAUUUAAAAACCAAAUGUGAAAAGGUUAAAUAUGCAUCCCAUUCUCCAUGGCAGCUUGGCUAAAAACAAAGGGGUUGUAAAAAGCAGACAAUAGGUGGGGGGAAAAAAAUGAUACAAGGAAUGUGAGGGAAACAGAAGA